This is a non-coding RNA of Prunus avium (sweet cherry), 532 nucleotides long. The record is from RefSeq and is a predicted model, not a curated record. Lineage: Eukaryota; Viridiplantae; Streptophyta; Magnoliopsida; Rosales; Rosaceae.
AUUGAUCACAAAGCUAAAAGAAUAUAUAAUAUCUUAUAUUAUACCAGAGAGAACUCAAACUUUAGAUCGCUAUGGUGUCAUGCAAGCGCUUUCUUCUUCUUGCUUCUUUUGUCUUGCUUUGCUUCAUAUCUCCCAGUGCUGGUAGAGCGCUGAGUUUGCAUGGCGAUGGUGAGAAAGGCAUGGACUAUAAGUUUAGUCCGAACCAAGCUGGUACUGCUGCUGGUGACACUGACGAAUUAGCGGCUAUGGAUUACACUCCGGCAAAAAAGAAUACUCCGAUUCAUAACUAAGAUGCCGCCGGCCAUAAGUUUUGUUGCGAAAUUAAGCAUUGCUUCAGCUUCCUCUGUGUUCCAACUUUUAUAGUUUGAUAUUCAUAUUUAGGAUAAAUCAAUGAAUAUUAGAAAAAUAAAAUAUUUUAUUAUUAUUAUUUGGAAACAGCACAAAAUUAAUGUUGCAAAAUAUAUAUAUCUCUUACUAGGCUUGCGGACCCUUUUGUAAAUUAGUGUUGCAAAAAUUUUGAGGUAUUUUCUGG